GAAGUCAGUUUUUAUUUAAUAUACACAUGCAAGUUUCCGCACCCCUGUGAAAACGCCCUAAAAUCCCCAAUAGGGAAUAGGAGCUGGUAUCAGGCACAAAUGCCCUGCCCAAGACACCUAGCCUCGCCACACCCACAAGGGCCCUCAGCAGUGAUUAACAUUGAGUAUAAGCGACAGCUUGACUCAGUUAAAUUAUCUAGAGCCGGCCAAUCUGGUGCCAGCCGCCGCGGUUACACCAGAAGCUCAAAUUGACCUCUAUCGGCGUAAAGCGUGAUUAAAGCCCCCAACCUCCUGGAACCUAAUUAAAACUAAGCUGUGACACGCCUGUUACCUAAGAAGCCCAAAAACGAAAGUUAUUCCAA
This 362-nucleotide ribosomal RNA is filed under the name Anomaloglossus megacephalus. Its description in RNAcentral is "partial 12S ribosomal RNA". Lineage: Eukaryota; Metazoa; Chordata; Amphibia; Anura; Aromobatidae. The record is from RNAcentral.